GUCAGAUAGCUCAGUGGUAGAGCAGAGACUGAAAUC
RNAcentral lists this transfer RNA (36 nucleotides) under Kengyilia mutica. RNAcentral describes it as "partial tRNA-Phe". Lineage: Eukaryota; Viridiplantae; Streptophyta; Magnoliopsida; Poales; Poaceae. The record is from RNAcentral. RNAcentral also lists the same sequence under 1 other name.